UAACGCGUGGGAAUCUGCCUUGGAGUGGGGGAUAACCGAUGGAAACGUCGGCUAAUACCGCAUACGUCCUGAGGGAGAAAGAUUUAUCGCUCUGAGAGGGGCCUGCGUCGGAUUAGCUAGUUGGUGGGGUAACGGCCUACCAAGGCGAUGAUCCGUAGCUGGUCUGAGAGGAUGAUCAGCCGCACUGGGACUGAGACACGGCCCAGACUCCUACGGGAGGCAGCAGUGGGGAAUAUUGGACAAUGGGCGCAAGCCUGAUCCAGCAAUGCCGCGUGAGUGAUGAAGGCCUUAGGGUUGU
Molecule: ribosomal RNA, 298 nt
Filed under: uncultured Sphingomonadaceae bacterium
Lineage: Bacteria; Pseudomonadati; Pseudomonadota; Alphaproteobacteria; Sphingomonadales; Sphingomonadaceae
Description: partial 16S ribosomal RNA
Rfam family: Bacterial small subunit ribosomal RNA
Source: RNAcentral